Neopsephotus bourkii (Bourke's parrot) is the source of this 1058-nucleotide long non-coding RNA. RefSeq lists it as uncharacterized. The record is from RefSeq and is a predicted model, not a curated record. Lineage: Eukaryota; Metazoa; Chordata; Aves; Psittaciformes; Psittacidae. The transcript has 2 exons.
GACUGGUGCUCCCUGUGAGGCAGAGCUGGAAAGUCUCCCCAUGAGCUUCCAAUGUAAAAUUGAAGUCUUGAAUACUCCCUGGCCAUGAAUUGAGCCCCUGAGUGCACAGUGACUGAAUAUUCAUUUUGUCCUUUCUUCAAAAAAAUACUUAGAAUUUAAGGUACAAGAAUAGCUCCAUUCAUGAGCUGCAAUGUGAGACAAGACUCUGUUGCCAGUGCCAUAUCUACAUUUCUUAAUAAGAAGCGAACAAAGCUGAUGUAUUACAGUGUAUAAAAAUAAUGAAAAAAGAAAACCAGAGAGAGAAAUUACCUUUUUUUCAUGAAGUGACAUGGGUUGAUUAUAAGCAUACACAUUAUUUCUCUUUGUUGUUCACUUUAUUGUGCAGUCUGAGAGAAUAAGGAAGCCAUGUGCACCUGUAUGGCUGGAUGAUAUUAGGGUUUCAACAUUUGGAACAACAGAUACUUAGGGUCAUUUGUACAGCUCAUCUUCUAAAACCUCUCUGCUAAUACUCAAGAAGGAUAUUACUGGAAUCCCAAGCUCCUUGCUAUUUUACAGAGUUGAAUCUGGACACAUGAAAUACGAAUUCAGCAACGUGUGCUGCCAGACAGCAUUGGGAAUGGACUGGGAACUGACUGUUUAGACUCAUGUGUAUGUGUGUGUGUAUAUCUGCAAGACAUGCAUAAACUACUCAAAUGCAGAUGUGUAAAUUUUACCAUUAAGUGUUUGCAUUUCUUUGCUUCACCAUUUCUUUUUAUUUUGCUUCAUUUAGCAUAGAUUAUCUCUGUAAAUCUGGCCACUAGUCAAUUACUCAAUUCCUUUUCAAAGGAAAUAAUAAGAAAGAUUACAAAAUUUAUGAGACUAGCAUAAAUCACAGUAUCUUCCCCACCUGAGAAUCUGACUCUAUAAAGCUAGUUACUUUCUUAUUUAUAAAGGUAAUUAUUCUAUUAAAAUUAAUAGUAAAAUGAAUACUGCUGUGACUGAAUUACAUGGGAUAAGCGUGAAAUACUGUGAUCUGUUCUGCUAUGAAUUAGUAAUUAUAGUGUGCUCAGUUAAAUUUG